UCUCACUCAAACUGCUCAUCUAGCCCCACAUAAUCAUGCGCCCCUAAUGGUUAGCCGAAAUGUGUUCAUUUCUCUUGAUCUCCACAUUGGCGAUGGCUACCACCAAAUAGCCCCGGUUCUCUCAAAGGAAAAGGGGCUUUUC
This 142-nucleotide small RNA is filed under the name Vibrio cholerae O1 biovar El Tor str. N16961. The record is from RNAcentral. Lineage: Bacteria; Pseudomonadati; Pseudomonadota; Gammaproteobacteria; Vibrionales; Vibrionaceae.